Non-coding RNA from Peromyscus maniculatus bairdii (prairie deer mouse), 106 nucleotides. The record is from RefSeq and is a predicted model, not a curated record. Lineage: Eukaryota; Metazoa; Chordata; Mammalia; Rodentia; Cricetidae.
CAUACAGAGGGAGCAAGCUCCAGAGCUUGAAAUAAAAGGCUCUUUGCUUUUACAUGUGGGAUUCAGUCUCCCUGGUGGUCUUUCGGGGGUCCCUGUGAUCUAGGCA